This is a long non-coding RNA of Oncorhynchus tshawytscha (Chinook salmon), 414 nucleotides long. RefSeq lists it as uncharacterized. The record is from RefSeq and is a predicted model, not a curated record. NCBI's taxonomy places the organism in Eukaryota, Metazoa, Chordata, Actinopteri, Salmoniformes, Salmonidae. The transcript has 4 exons.
GUCCAUAAAUAUUUCUAGUUUGUAGGCACUCCUAGAUCAUUCAGUCAUGUCACUCCUUUGGCAAUGUGCAAUUGUUUUGGCUGUCGUAGCAGCAAGCGCUGCAAAUGAAGAUUUUAAUGUGGAUUGUGAGAAACACUCCAUUAAAGUGACAUGGAAGGUCAGUCCAGAGUUGGUUGAACAUGCUGCCCGUCUUUUCCUUGGACACUGUGUUCCGUCCACAUUUUCUGUUCUUCCCACGGGAGAAGGGAUGGCGACAUUCCACUACAACCUCAAUGGCUGUGCCAUCAAGAAACGGGUGACUGGCAAAAAACACAUCUAUUCAACCAGCCUGACUUACAGACCUAACCGAAAGCCCAAACCUGCUGCUAUUUGUCACCAUAUUAAGUGUGUUUACAUAAGACCUGAGGGAUGAAU